UCUCUCUCUCUCUCUCUCUCAGAACAACAUAUUCAAAUCUUUCUCUCUCUCUUAUUUAAAUUCUUUCUUCUUUGGAUAAAAAUCUCAGGCUCUUUGUCCUCUGAGUGUCCUCAACAGUAUUUUGAACAAAAAUUCUGCUUCUAGAAAUGGAAGCAAAUUCUGCUGAAGAGAAAUGGGAACAUUCUUGCUCUCAUAAAGAGGAGGAAGGAGAAGAAGAGGAGGAAGAAGAAGCAUUAUCUCUUUGCGAUUUACCAGUAAAUUUGAUCAAAGAAGAAAACCAAUCAAGUAAAGAAGCUGCUCAAGAAACUGAGGCCAGUCAAGAAGAUUUCGAUUUUGGACCCUGGGGUGGUUCUCUUUCUACAAGCUCAGAAAUCUGUGCAGCUGAUGAUAUAUUCUUUCAGGGCCAAAUUCUCCCAUUUCGACUCUCGGUUAGUUCUGAAACUGGUCUUAACAAGUUAAGGCAGGACACCAUGAACCCAAGCCGAUGCGUAUCGAGGUCAGAAUCCAUGGACCACGGUUCAAUAGGAGGGUUUACAAGUUUCAGUAGCAGAAGCAGUAGCAGUAGAAGCCAAUUCUCAUCAAGUAGGACCAGCGCAUUCAAUACCAGCAAAAUAAUUUCAAAGCCAAGAAUCCAAAAUCAGUUUCACACUCACCCAAGUCCCAAGCCUCAAAUUAGACUUUCCAGCAGCGCCUCACUGGGAAAUGCUGGCAGUAACAGGAACAGAAAAUCAACCGUAUGGGAUUUUUUAAAAUUGGGUUUGGUCCGUACACCAGAAAUUGAAUUGCAAGAUCUCAAGGUUCGUACAUCCGUUAGUAGAAACAGCAGUUCAAGUAGUUCUAACAGCAACUCCAGCGUCAGGAUUAGUAGUAACAAUAGAGGUAGAAUCAGUAACAGCAGCAGCAGCCAAGGAGAGAACACGGAGAAACAGAGAAAACAGAGUUUGUUGGAAAAAAGAUCAGGAGGGUUAUUAAGUGGGUGUAGUUGUACAGUUAAUGCAGUGAAACCAGUUCCAUUGAGCAUAAUCAUCAUUAAAAGAAGGAAUAGUACGGAAAAUAGCAAUAACGACAAAAGCAAAGAAAAAGAGAUAGCAGAGGAUAUGCUACAAGAAUUGGAGAUAAAGAACAAGAAGAAGAAGAAAAUGGUGGAAAAGCAGCAACAGCAGCAUCAGAAGAAGCAGGGAAAGCAAGCAAUGUCACGUCAUCGAACGUUUGAGUGGAUAAAGAAGCUUUCAAAUGCAAGCUUUCUUGUUGAUGAUGAGGAGGAGGGCCUAGACUUGUGAAUAAUGAACAAUCUCUUUGCAUGCUUUGUAUUCUUUUUUUAUUACCAUCAAUUUUUUGCUCUUCCCCCUUCCCCACCUUUUUUUUUCAUCUUUUAGGGUUCUCCCUUUUUCUCUUUAAUUUGAAUCAAGUAAUUGGAUAUUGUUAUAAUGUUAUAAGCACUGUUUUCCAGAACCAUAAGUCUUUCUUUAUCUUUCUUGACAUAUUGAGGUUUGUGGGUAUUUUUUAAAGUGAAUAUGUAUCUAGUAAAGUUAAAACUACUAAUUUAAGAUUCAGGCUUGGCUAUUAUACUGUGUUUUAGGAUUAGGAGUGUAAAGAUAAAGGCACCCGUGAUGGGUGGGAAUGAUGGAGGAGGUGGCAGUGGAGGUGGAGGUGGCUGUCAUGAUUAAAGUGUGAGAAUUCCUGCUCUAUGCAAUGUGGGGUGUGAAAAUGGCAGUUCGUGACUGCUGCCUCAAAAGAGAGAAAGCCGACAGGAACAAGUUGAAGAAAUGCAUUGAAGCUGGAAAAUAAUAAUUGGAAGCAAGGAAUUAUCCAAUCUUCAAGGAAUUAUCCAAUCUUUUCUUUUGAUGAAUUUAUGAUUAGCAAUUGAAGGAGGUGUGACAUUAAUUGCUUUUUGUGUCUCAUGUGCAUAAUACUCUUUCAUUAUCUGCUAAAAAAGUUGAACUGCUUAUUAGGAAUCCAAUAAUAGUUUCUGUUU
This 1975-nucleotide unclassified non-coding RNA is filed under the name Hevea brasiliensis (rubber tree). The record is from RNAcentral. Lineage: Eukaryota; Viridiplantae; Streptophyta; Magnoliopsida; Malpighiales; Euphorbiaceae.